AUUGAACGCUGGCGGCAGGCCUAACACAUGCAAGUCGAACGGUAACAGGAAGCAGCUUGCUGCUUUGCUGACGAGUGGCGGACGGGUGAGUAAUGUCUGGGAAACUGCCUGAUGGAGGGGGAUAACUACUGGAAACGGUAGCUAAUACCGGAUAACGUCGCAAGACCAAAGAGGGGGACCUUAGGGCCUCUUGCCAUCGGAUGUGCCCAGAUGGGAUUAGCUAGUAGGUGGGGUAACGGCUCACCUAGGCGACGAUCCCUAGCUGGUCUGAGAGGAUGACCAGCCACACUGGAACUGAGACACGGUCCAGACUCCUACGGGAGGCAGCAGUGGGGAAUAUUGCACAAUGGGCGCAAGCCUGAUGCAGCCAUGCCGCGUGUAUGAAGAAGGCCUUCGGGUUGUAAAGUACUUUCAGCGGGGAGGAAGGGAGUAAAGUUAAUACCUUUGCUCAUUGACGUUACCCGCAGAAGAAACACCGGCUAACUCCGU
RNAcentral lists this ribosomal RNA (489 nucleotides) under uncultured bacterium. RNAcentral describes it as "partial 16S ribosomal RNA". It matches the Rfam family "Bacterial small subunit ribosomal RNA", at positions 30 to 506 of the family's 1533-position model. The record is from RNAcentral.